UGAGGAAUAUUGGUCAAUGGACGUAAGUCUGAACCAGCCAAGUCGCGUGAGGGAAGACUGCCCUAUGGGUUGUAAACCUCUUUUAUAAGGGAAGAAUAAGUUCUACGUGUAGAAUGAUGCCUGUACCUUAUGAAUAAGCAUCGGCUAACUCCGUGCCAGCAGCCGCGGUAAUACGGAGGAUGCGAGCGUUAUCCGGAUUUAUUGGGUUUAAAGGGUGCGUAGGCGGUUUAUUAAGUUAGUGGUUAAAUAUUUGAGCUAAACUCAAUUGUGCCAUUAAUACUGGUAAACUGGAGUACAGACGAGGUAGGCGGAAUAAGUUAAGUAGCGGUGAAAUGCAUAGAUAUAACUUAGAACUCCGAUAGCGAAGGCAGCUUACCAGACUGUAACUGACGCUGAUGCACGAGAGCGUGGGUAGCGAACAGG
This 423-nucleotide ribosomal RNA is filed under the name uncultured Odoribacter sp. RNAcentral's name for it is "bacterial SSU rRNA". It matches the Rfam family "Bacterial small subunit ribosomal RNA", at positions 355 to 776 of the family's 1533-position model. The record is from RNAcentral. Lineage: Bacteria; Pseudomonadati; Bacteroidota; Bacteroidia; Bacteroidales; Odoribacteraceae.